This 380-nucleotide ribosomal RNA is filed under the name uncultured bacterium. Its description in RNAcentral is "bacterial SSU rRNA". It matches the Rfam family "Bacterial small subunit ribosomal RNA", at positions 355 to 727 of the family's 1533-position model. The record is from RNAcentral.
UGGGGAAUAUUGGACAAUGGGCGCAAGCCUGAUCCAGCCAUACCGCGUGGGUGAAGAAGGCCUUCGGGUUGUAAAGCCCUUUUGUUGGGAAAGAAAUCCAGCCGGCUAAUACCUGGUUGGGAUGACGGUACCCAAAGAAUAAGCACCGGCUAACUUCGUGCCAGCAGCCGCGGUAAUACGAAGGGUGCAAGCGUUACUCGGAAUUACUGGGCGUAAAGCGUGCGUAGGUGGUUAUUUAAGUCCGUUGUGAAAGCCCUGGGCUCAACCUGGGAACUGCAGUGGAUACUGGAUGACUAGAAUGUGGUAGAGGGUAGCGGAAUUCCUGGUGUAGCAGUGAAAUGCGUAGAGAUCAGGAGGAACAUCCAUGGCGAAGGCAGCUA